GUGCCAGCAGCCGCGGUAAGACAGAGGGUGCAAACGUUGUUCGGAAUUACUGGGCGUAAAGCGUGUGUAGGCGGCCAUGUAGGUCGGAUGUGAAAGCCCUGGGCUCAACCCAGGAAGUGCAUUCGAAACCCCAUGGCUUGAGUAUCGGAGAGGUUGGUGGAAUUCUCGGUGUAGAGGUGAAAUUCGUAGAUAUCGAGAGGAACACCGGUGGCGAAGGCGGCCAACUGGACGAAUACUGACGCUGAGACACGAAAGCGUGGGGAGCAAACAGGAUUAGAUACCCCCGUAGUCC
This 292-nucleotide ribosomal RNA is filed under the name uncultured bacterium. RNAcentral's name for it is "partial 16S ribosomal RNA". It matches the Rfam family "Bacterial small subunit ribosomal RNA", at positions 505 to 796 of the family's 1533-position model. The record is from RNAcentral.